AACGGCCGCGGUAUUUUGACCGCGUGAAGGUAGCGUAAUCAUUUGUCUUUUAAAUGAAGACCUGUAUGAAUGGCAUAACGAGGGCUUAACUGUCUCAUCCUCCCAGUCAAUGAAAUUGAUCUCCCCGUGCAGAAGCGGGGAUAAACACAUAAGACGAAAAGACCCUGUGGAGCUUUAGAUUACAGAGCAGCCUUAAUAAAACUUUUUAAAGCCCCUGCUCAUUUAUCUUCGGUUGGGGCGACCACGGAGAAAACUUAUCCUCCACGCUGCACAAAACACCAUGUUUCUAUAGCCAAGAGCGACAGCUCUAAGCACCAGAAUCUCUGACCCCAAAGAUCCGGACACACCGAUCAACGAACCAAGUUACCCCAGGGAUAACAGCGCAAUCCCCUUCUAGAGCCCUUAUCGACAAGGGGGUUUACGACCUCGAUGUUGGAUCAGGGCAUCCUAAU
This 452-nucleotide ribosomal RNA is filed under the name Kryptolebias ocellatus. RNAcentral describes it as "partial 16S ribosomal RNA". It matches the Rfam family "Bacterial large subunit ribosomal RNA", at positions 1926 to 2551 of the family's 2925-position model. Lineage: Eukaryota; Metazoa; Chordata; Actinopteri; Cyprinodontiformes; Rivulidae. The record is from RNAcentral.